AGCUCCUCAAGCGGUCUGCAACGGGCUGGAGGGAUCCCGGUGCUGCUGCGACGGCAGCCGGCGCCCUUCAAAGGGUCGGCGUUGCGAUCUGCUCAGGAUUGGUGGGUCCACUUGGUAUAUGCUGUGCAGGAGAGCGAGGAAAGAGCCGCUCGGGAAUAUUGUGUGCUUUCCCUUCCGGAUGCUUUGACGGGACCUUUCUUUACUCUUUGGUCCAGAGAGGGAGAGAGAUCGUGGGAGACAGAAACUGGGAGGUGCUGUGCCUGUAUAUCGGCAGGAUCCCGAGUGUUUAAGUGGCGGCGGUGGAGAGCGAUGGCUGGAUCUUGCCCAUCGCCGCCGCCGCCUCCUCCUCUCCGCGAAGUAUAUACCGUCGGCUAUCUAGAAACAUUUUCUCCUUGGAAAUAAACCUGCGUUGGAUUUAUGCCCCUUGGAUGUUUCAGCAGCGCCCCAUUGGGAAGAGGCGUCUAUUUUUUAAGGGAAAAGAGGAAGAUGUUGGGAGGCGCACGAGACACGUGCGCUCGGGCUUCCUCGGCUCUGAAUUAUUUUAUCGCUGUCACGAAAUGAAGCUCCCCCCAUGUUGGGCACCGAAGGUAUUUGGCGGGGGGCGGCGGUGACCUGUUUUGUGCCCUUCCCGCCUUCCUAUGUAUGGAAUACAGUCAUUGCGGCUUCUUUGCCCGCCGCUCGUCGUAGGUGAUGCGCUGGAGGGUCACCUGGCCAGAGAAGAGGAUGAUUGAUGCACAGAGGAUGCUGACCGAAAGGCCCAGGUGCAGAAGACCCAACUGUUUGUGGAAGCAGGAUCUCACCUGAUGGGAAAUUCUGUUUGGAUAUGUCAGGAAAUUGUUGACGAUGACUUGCAGAAUUCUGUCCAUAACAGCUAAAACAGAUGAUAUGUAUGGGAAGAAUCUUCCAUCUUACAAUCAACAGAAAUGGACCGUGGGCUCUUCAGCUGGCAUGAAGAUAACCAAGGCUACCUCACCAGUAAUUCUAUGUAUGAUGACGCAGUUAACUUUGGCUUGUUCCUCUGGUUUUACAGCAUUCAAAUUUUGCCUCCUUGAACAAUAUGGCUGGAGAUUCACCUUUAGGAUAGCUCCAAAAGUCAUCUGGGGCAGUGAACGACCGUUCGGCCUGAAAGGGAAAGGAUUUUUUUCUCCUCCUCUAUUUUUUUAAAGAUUCAAAGCCUGUCUAGAUACAGUGGAAGCUGUUGUGAAUUUUCUAAAAAUGAAUGCCCACACUCACUUUUACUUUUCUGAUUUCUCAUUUGUCUUAUGUGCUUUAUUCCAUUGCUGGUGUAGUGUUUCAGUGCAAGUUCAUGAUGUCUUUGGGACUGACAGAAAGAUCAGACAAGAAAUACCCACUGCUAGGAAAAAAACUCCAAACUGUGUUUGGAGGAAUAAUGCUUGAUCCCUCCAAACUAGGCAACCCCAGGCAGUACCUAAUUGUAAGUCUUCCAUCAAAACAAAAUCAUUAUGUAAUCAGGAAGGUUGCUGACCAGUAAGAGUGAUGGACAGAGGGUAGCUGAAUGGAAAGCAAUGCUAAGGGGUCAGCAGGGGAGGAACAGUCCUGGAAUAUCUAAGAGUCAGCAGCCCAUGCCACAGAAAAAGAAAACUGCUGCAAAAUAGGCAUAGUGGUGGUGACGGGGAAUCACACAGCCACACACAAGUAUUCCCAUGGAUCAACAUUCUUGGGUUCCAGCAAAAGCUCCCAUUUCACAGAGAGGCAGGUUAUUUUAAGAUAAGUGGGAAGAGAGAAUUCACUCAGCCACAAUAACAGUGAUGAUAGUUUUUGAAAAGAUGUGAUAUUUUCAGGGCCACACAGAAAAGCAGGUUUUGGAAGACAGGAACAAGUUCUGAAGUCAUCCAAAAUCCAUGCCUUUGUAUAUCCGUCAUAAAGAAUCCACCAGUGUAGGCCUGUUUAGAAGGCAUGUAGUACAGAAUUCCAGAUCAUGUGUAUCUCAUUAGAAGUAAAGAGCACUGGACUGCUCAAGGGGAAGGACGAACGUCCCUCCAAAUGCAAUAAUAGAUGAGUGUAUCCCUUUGGAAUCCAGCAGGAACUCUGUGCAAAAGUGCCAAGUCACCUCACCAUUCACACACAGGCACUCCCUUCUUUCACCCUACCCCCACAUACCAUACCAUACCAUACCAUACCAUACCAUACCAUACCAUACCAUACCCACAGACAUAAACUACAGACCAUACUAACCAAGAUAAUGAUAAUUAAAAACUAAGGUGAUAUUCUGAGAGGUACACAGAAGAACAACUUUUGGAAUACACACGUAUUAUUUAUUUAAAACAUUUUUAUACAUACACUCACAUUCAGCCCCUGUAUGCCCCCUCCCGCUACACACAUACCAGAUAUGAUACUCACAUAUCCUGAACUAGACUGGGCAUAUAUGCCACAGAAAGUAUUCACAAACUCUGGACUAGCUCAUAUAACCACCCCCUGACCAGACCACACACAUGCUUACGCACACACACACAACCCAGACCAUACCUACAAACCCUAGACCACAUCAUUCAGACACACAAGCAUGCACCCUGGGAUAGAAACAUACAUGCAGACUCUUUCACACACACCUCUUCAAAUAUUACGCAAUGCCAUGCUGUGAUGGAGCUGAAACUGCCGCUGCAGCCGCUCUGACCAGCUCAUUCAGGACACUGGCUCCUGGCACCCCAACCAUGCCUAGAAGAGGGAGGGCAGGGAUGGUCCCUACCUGGCCAGCUCAAGCUCUCAGCCAGCUUUGUGAGCGGCCUCCCCCCUGGUGAGGGGUGCCUUCACGGCUUGCCACUGGCCACCAGGGAGUCCUCACUCCAGGGGAAGGCCCUGGAGCAGCAGGAAUGCUCCACGCAUGGGUGUGAGUUUGCGCUUGCACUGGAGUGUAACUACAGAUUGCCCUUCCAGGAGCUCCUGCAGCUGUGUGGUGGCACUGCAGGGAAGUCACUUUUCUCAGGCUGGUGCCUUUUUUUUUUCUUUUCAAACGGUAAGAGAGGGAGGAAUGCACAGUGGGAAGCUGAAGCUCAAAGUGCCCUCAAAUUGGAGCAGCACCUAGAUGAAUGUCAUAGAAGAUGAUAUAUGCUUGUGCAUCUAACACACAGGAGAUAAAACUGUGUGAGCAUCAGAUCAAAUAAGUUUAGGGACACAUUCAAAUAAGUUGAGGAAACUGACUGUAUUAACACUUUACUACCACUGUCGGAGCAGGUGGACAGAAAAGGAAAGGGAAUCCCAAUGGUUUAUAAAGUAAUUAAAAGAAUAAUGGUUUUCUUCGUGCAUGCACAACUCUGGGACCUACCCAGUAGUUGGAUCUAGAGCAGAAAAUUCCCAUUGUCAUCGCAUCAUCUUUCUUUUCUAGCUAUGCAAGACCAAUUAGCGUAAUGAUGUAAGAAUAAAAGAACUGUCAUACCCAGUCCAUCUCUCCAAGCAUCAUGUCUAACAUAAGUUGCAUUCAUUUUAAUGAGUUUACUCCACAGCGGAGUGGUGUUGGAUUUUACCCAGAGAGUAAUGCAGGGAAUAAAUUACAGAUGCAUGGCCAUCUGCCUUAUGGUGGUAUCCAGCCAUGAAGCACUGAAAAUUGGAAGGAAUGGGCAGUUGGUGGAUCUAUGGGUAUCAAAGGGCUAUUUGUCCCCACGGGAAUCCACUGUGGAGAGGCAAAACCCAUGGCAUUGUCAACAACACUUUUUGGCCUUCAUGAACUUUCAUUGCCCACCAUUGCUAAACUUGCUAAGCAGUGAUGCAUCUAUUAGUUCAGUGGAAGCUGAUCUGCAUUUUCCCUUAUUAAGCUUACUAAUGACAUCAUACACUUCUAGUAGGACUCCAGCUGAUUUGGAGCUAAAACCAGUAGUUCUCAAGUGGUAUGUUAACAUCUGAUAGUAGGAGGCAUUUAAUUUUAUUUACACAUUACAUUUUAUAUGGCCACCCAUCAAUAGAUUUUCUUUGGCCAGCUUAUAAAAUAAAAAGCAAAACUAAGUAUACUAUGCAAUAAAUUAAAAACAGAAAAUAAAAAUAAAGUGCAAAACAACAAACAACUCAGAUUUAAAACAACUGCAAGGGACUAAAACAGUUGAUGCGUUGCAAGAGCGUUUAAAAGGUGCAGCCUUAUGGAUCCUAGAUGCUGUGGAGCUGGCCAUAGGAGUUUUCCCAAGCUCCAGCCUUGGGACUUCAAAUUCAGAGAGCUUUCCCUCUGCCCUGGGAGCAUGGUUCUUUCUUCACUGGCUGUAGCUCAAGUUGCAAACGAAACUUCAGAGCUGCUGUUCGCUCUACCAGGAUGUGAGGAAUCACUGUGGUACCUCAGCCCUGCCUCCUCACUAGCAGAUGCGUGCAACCAAGUACUUGGGAGGGCAAGAGAAGCAUAGGGGCAAUCCUCAUUGGAGCUCUCCUACCUUCCAUGGAUACCCAUAAUCCCCCCAGUUCAGGGGGUUAUGGGCAUCCACCCUGGAUGUCACCCUAACUGGUGGAAGCAGUACAGCUAAAGAGGAUAAAAAUAAUACAGGCUUCCUUCCUAUACAGGACCUGGAUGUCACAGCUGCAGUCUACACAAAAGCACAUUCAUUGAGAAUCCCCUUAGAAAAACUAUUUGACAGCUACUAUUUUGCAAAGUACACAUUGCACCUGUAAAUAUGUAAUAAAGUGAUCUUAAAUGAGUCGCUUGCAUUUAUGAGGGUUUGUUGUUUCUUCAUAUGCUUUUUAUGAGCAGACCAUUCAGACUAGAUGGCCCGGGAGGCCCCUUCUGACUCGCUCUGUUUCUAUGCUUUGGAAGGCUCUUUGGAAUCAAAGCAGUAUAUUAGAUAGCACAGCAUUUGAAGUGUGACUACCACAAUUCUGUUAUCAGUGCCAUAACUCAAAAUGGUGACAUAAUGAAUGGCAUGAAUUCAUAGUGUUUCCUGCAUACUUCCUGCAUUUUUUCCUUUUAAUCUUUAACGUAAAGAACUCUUUAAUACCCAAUCAAAUGAAAAGAGGCUUUUUCCCAUGUCAAACUACAGAUGAUGUUGCUGGUGGAUUUUUUUUUUUUUUAAUUUCCUUGGUUUAAUGAUUGGUUGAGACAAGAUGUUAAAAACUUGUAUCUAGCAUAUCUGUUGUUUAGAAUGUUUUUACAUUUUUUUCUGUAGAAGGCUGCUAACUGACCAGUUUAAAAAAGAAGUAUUAGUGCACUUUCUGAUAUUUUAGCCUCCUGCUUAGCUGCUUAUCCAUUGUCACCAACCUGAAGGUCAAUUUCACAGCAGGUACAAGUUUUGAGGUGUGCUAUUUUACCUUUUUUACUUGUUGGAAGUGACUUUCAGCACAAACCCAUUUGAAAAAGAAAGACAUGUGUGUUUUACAUGCCCCAUUUUGUUUCGAGUGACAAUAAUAACUUUGCUCACUGAGUUUCCACCAUAUCAUGGGAACAUUAUGAGAAGAGUCGGGACUUUACUUAUUUGUUUGCUUUGAGCAUUUAUACCUUUCAAUUUAGAGCAUCGAGAAUAUUGUGCCAUUCACUCGUGGAACAACCACUCGCACAAUACGGUUUUCAUGCUCUGCUGACCUAUCCCAGUCUGGAAAGGAGCAUCUCCACUAAUUUCUGGGGUUGUUUUUAGUGUGUGUCCCAUUGCACAAGCAAUCACUCCUGCAAGCACAACAGAACCAGCUGGGAAACUGCACUGUAUACUGCCUAAAGAAUUUAAAUCAGCCAAUGAAGCCCAUUCAGCAAUUUAAGCAAUUAAUAGAGACAAGGACAGCCAUUCCAAUUUGGAAUCCAACAGAGUUCAAGUGUAACCUUAGAUGACAAGGGAUGCAAACAUGAGAGGCAUCAAGCAGGUUGGGCUCAAUUGUUCCAUGAUAUUUUCCUAGAUCGCAUUCCAUACGGUAUGUUCUUCUUUAGCAACAAGGUAUUGAGUAUCACUAUGAAUUGUAAUUUAUGAAGAAGUCCAUCAGAGCAGCAGCAGUGCAGAGGUGUGACGAUGUGUCGGAACUUACAAAUCUGGAGCUUCCUCAGACAAAUAUCGCAGUGCAACAAGCUGGCAGCAAACAACUGUUUUGUUCCGAGGCUAAAACUUUUGUCAAAGAUCCCAAGAUGUUCACACCUUUUCUGACAGAUGACUUACAUGUUUAGGUGUUGGUUCCAAAAGACAUGUAUUCAAUAAAUCCUUUGCAAUAUUUUGGA
Molecule: long non-coding RNA, 6127 nt
Organism: Varanus komodoensis (Komodo dragon)
Lineage: Eukaryota; Metazoa; Chordata; Lepidosauria; Squamata; Varanidae
Exons: 2
Source: RefSeq, a predicted model, not a curated record